UACGAAGGGGGCUAGCGUUGCUCGGAAUCACUGGGCGUAAAGCGCACGUAGGCGGACUCUUAAGUCGGUGGUGAAAUCCUGGAGCUCAACUACAGAACUGCCUUCGAUACUGGGAGUCUCGAGUCCGGGAGAGGUGAGUGGAACUGCGAGUGUAGAGGUGAAAUUCGUAGAUAUUCGCAAGAACACCAGUGGCGAAGGCGGCUCACUGGCCCGGUACUGACGCUGAGGUGCGAAAGCGUGGGGAGCAAACAGG
This 253-nucleotide ribosomal RNA is filed under the name uncultured bacterium. Its description in RNAcentral is "partial 16S ribosomal RNA". It matches the Rfam family "Bacterial small subunit ribosomal RNA", at positions 524 to 776 of the family's 1533-position model. The record is from RNAcentral.